GCUCAACCGGGGAGGGUCAUUGGAAACUGGGGAACUUGAGUGCAGAAGAGGAGAGUGGAAUUCCACGUGUAGCGGUGAAAUGCGUAGAGAUGUGGAGGAACACCAGUGGCGAAGGCGACUCUCUGGUCUGUAACUGACGCUGAGGCGCGAAAGCGUGGGGAGCGAACAGGAUUAGAUACCUUGGUAGUCCACGCCGUAAACGAUGAGUGCUAAGUGUUAGAGGGUUUCCGCCCUUUAGUGCUGCAGCAAACGCAUUAAGCACUCCGCCUGGGGAGUACGGUCGCAAGACUGAAACUCAAAGGAAUUGACGGGGGCCCGCACAAGCGGUGGAGCAUGUGGUUUAAUUCGAAGCAACGCGAAGAACCUUACCAGGUCUUGACAUCCUCUGACAACCCUAGAGAUAGGGCUUCCCCUUCGGGGGCAGAGUGACAGGUGGUGCAUGGUUGUCGUCAGCUCGUGUCGUGAGAUGUUGGGUUAAGUCCCGCAACGAGCGCAACCCUUGAUCUUAGUUGCCAGCAUUCAGUUGGGCACUCUAAGGUGACUGCCGGUGACAAACCGGAGGAAGGUGGGGAUGACGUCAAAUCAUCAUGCCCCUUAUGACCUGGGCUACACACGUGCUACAAUGGGCAGAACAAAG
This 637-nucleotide ribosomal RNA is filed under the name uncultured bacterium. RNAcentral describes it as "bacterial SSU rRNA". It matches the Rfam family "Bacterial small subunit ribosomal RNA", at positions 607 to 1244 of the family's 1533-position model. The record is from RNAcentral.